This is a small nucleolar RNA of Callithrix jacchus (white-tufted-ear marmoset), 134 nucleotides long. NCBI's taxonomy places the organism in Eukaryota, Metazoa, Chordata, Mammalia, Primates, Cebidae. The record is from Ensembl.
GCUAUCCUGGAUUGCCAGCCCAUAGAUGCAGUUGUUCUGCUGUGUCUGUAAUAUCUGGCAAAGAGAAAGUGGCUCUUUCUAUGCUCAGUGUUCACAAACCAGUGAACACUAAAAUGUUUUAUAGCCUGAUGUUU